UACGUAGGGGGCAAGCGUUGUCCGGAAUCAUUGGGCGUAAAGAGCGUGUAGGCGGCCAGAUAAGUCCGCUGUGAAAUCUCGAGGCUCAACUUCGAGCUGUCGGUGGAAACUGUCUGGCUAGAGUCCGGAAGAGGAGAAUGGAAUUCCUGGUGUAGCGGUGAAAUGCGCAGAUAUCAGGAAGAACACCCGUGGCGAAGGCGGUUCUCUGAGACGGUACUGACGCUGAGACGCGAAAGCGUGGGGAGCGAACAGG
This 253-nucleotide ribosomal RNA is filed under the name uncultured bacterium. RNAcentral's name for it is "partial 16S ribosomal RNA". It matches the Rfam family "Bacterial small subunit ribosomal RNA", at positions 524 to 776 of the family's 1533-position model. The record is from RNAcentral.